Molecule: ribosomal RNA, 606 nt
Filed under: Nocardia nova
Lineage: Bacteria; Bacillati; Actinomycetota; Actinomycetes; Mycobacteriales; Nocardiaceae
Description: bacterial SSU rRNA
Rfam family: Bacterial small subunit ribosomal RNA
Source: RNAcentral
GCUUAACACAUGCAAGUCGAGCGGUAAGGCCCUUCGGGGUACACGAGCGGCGAACGGGUGAGUAACACGUGGGUGAUCUGCCUCGYACUCUGGGAUAAGCCUGGGAAACUGGGUCUAAUACCGGAUAUGACCACGRAUCGCAUGGUUUGUGGUGGAAAGAUUUAUCGGUGCGAGAUGGGCCCGCGGCCUAUCAGCUUGUUGGUGGGGUAAUGGCCUACCAAGGCGACGACGGGUAGCCGACCUGAGAGGGUGACCGGCCACACUGGGACUGAGACACGGCCCAGACUCCUACGGGAGGCAGCAGUGGGGAAUAUUGCACAAUGGGCGAAAGCCUGAUGCAGCGACGCCGCGUGAGGGAUGACGGCCUUCGGGUUGUAAACCUCUUUCGACAGGGACGAAGCGCRAGUGACGGUACCUGUAGAAGAAGCACCGGCCAACUACGUGCCAGCAGCCGCGGUAAUACGUAGGGUGCGAGCGUUGUCCGGAAUUACUGGGCGUAAAGAGCUUGUAGGCGGUUCGUCGCGUCGAUUGUGAAAACUUGCAGCUCAACUGCAAGCUUGCAGUCGAUACGGGCGGACUAGAGUACUUCAGGGGAGACUGGAAUUC